UACAGAGGUCUCAAGCGUUGUUCGGAUUCAUUGGGCGUAAAGGGUGCGUAGGCGGCGCGGUAAGUCGGGUGUGAAAUCUCGGAGCUUAACUCCGAAACUGCAUUCGAUACUGCCGUGCUUGAGGACUGGAGAGGAGACUGGAAUUCCCGGUGUAGCGGUGAAAUGCGUAGAGAUCGGGAGGAACAUCAGUGGCGAAGGCGGCCAUCUGGGACAACACUGACGCUGAGGCACGAAAGCGUGGGGAGCAAACAGG
This 253-nucleotide ribosomal RNA is filed under the name uncultured bacterium. Its description in RNAcentral is "partial 16S ribosomal RNA". It matches the Rfam family "Bacterial small subunit ribosomal RNA", at positions 524 to 776 of the family's 1533-position model. The record is from RNAcentral.